UACGUAGGGACCGAGCGUUGUCCGGAAUCAUUGGGCGUAAAGGGCGCGUAGGCGGCCUUCUAAGUCGAACGUGAAAUCCCCGGGCUCAACCCGGGAACUGCGUCCGAUACUGGAAGGCUUGAAUCCGGGAGAGGGAUGUGGAAUUCCAGGUGUAGCGGUGAAAUGCGUAGAUAUCUGGAGGAACACCGGUGGCGAAAGCAGCUUUCUGGGACGGUACUGACGCUGAGACGCGAAAGCGUGGGGAGCGAACAGG
RNAcentral lists this ribosomal RNA (253 nucleotides) under uncultured bacterium. Its description in RNAcentral is "partial 16S ribosomal RNA". It matches the Rfam family "Bacterial small subunit ribosomal RNA", at positions 524 to 776 of the family's 1533-position model. The record is from RNAcentral.